UACGUAGGGUGCGAGCGUUAAUCGGAAUUACUGGGCGUAAAGCGUGCGCAGGCGGUUCGUUAAGUUCGAUGUGAAAGCCCCGGGCUCAACCUGGGAACUGCAUUGGAAACUGACGAGCUCGAGUACUGGAGGGGAAAGCGGAAUUCCUGGUGUAGCGGUGAAAUGCGUAGAUAUCAGGAGGAACACCGGUGGCGAAGGCGGCUUUCUGGACAGUAACUGACGCUGAUGCGCGAAAGCUAGGGGAGCAAACAGG
Molecule: ribosomal RNA, 253 nt
Filed under: uncultured bacterium
Lineage: Bacteria
Description: partial 16S ribosomal RNA
Rfam family: Bacterial small subunit ribosomal RNA
Source: RNAcentral